This 31-nucleotide non-coding RNA is filed under the name Rattus norvegicus (Norway rat). The record is from RNAcentral. Lineage: Eukaryota; Metazoa; Chordata; Mammalia; Rodentia; Muridae.
UGCUGUCGAGUCAUUAAUAUAUAUUUGUGAA